This 1128-nucleotide ribosomal RNA is filed under the name uncultured bacterium. RNAcentral describes it as "bacterial SSU rRNA". It matches the Rfam family "Bacterial small subunit ribosomal RNA", at positions 29 to 1155 of the family's 1533-position model. The record is from RNAcentral.
GGAAAAGGGGCGGCGGGCUUACACAUGCAAGUCGAGCGGGGAAGGUUGCUUCGGUAACUGACCUAGCGGCGGACGGGUGAGUAAUGCUUAGGAAUCUGCCUAUUAGUGGGGGACAACAUUCCGAAAGGGAUGCUAAUACCGCAUACGCCCUACGGGGGAAAGCAGGGGAUCUUCGGACCUUGCGCUAAUAGAUGAGCCUAAGUCGGAUUAGCUAGUUGGUGGGGUAAAGGCCUACCAAGGCGACGAUCUGUAGCGGGUCUGAGAGGAUGAUCCGCACACUGGGACUGAGACACGGCCCAGACUCCUACGGGAGGCAGCAGUGGGGAAUAUUGGACAAUGGGGGGAACCCUGAUCCAGCCAUGCCGCGUGUGUGAAGAAGGCCUUUUGGUUGUAAAGCACUUUAAGCGAGGAGGAGGCGCUCUAGGCUAAUACCCUAGAUGCGUGGACGUUACUCGCAGAAUAAGCACCGGCUAACUCUGUGCCAGCAGCCGCGGUAAUACAGAGGGUGCGAGCGUUAAUCGGAUUUACUGGGCGUAAAGCACGCGUAGGUGGCUAAUUAAGUCAAAUGUGAAAUCCCCGAGCUUAACUUGGGAAUUGCAUUCGAUACUGGUUAGCUAGAGUAUGGGAGAGGAUGGUAGAAUUCCAGGUGUAGCGGUGAAAUGCGUAGAGAUCUGGAGGAAUACCGAUGGCGAAGGCAGCCAUCUGGCCUAAUACUGACACUGAGGUGCGAAAGCAUGGGGAGCAAACAGGAUUAGAUACCCUGGUAGUCCAUGCCGUAAACGAUGUCUACUAGCCGUUGGGGCCUUUGAGGCUUUAGUGGCGCAGCUAACGCGAUAAGUAGACCGCCUGGGGAGUACGGUCGCAAGACUAAAACUCAAAUGAAUUGACGGGGGCCCGCACAAGCGGUGGAGCAUGUGGUUUAAUUCGAUGCAACGCGAAGAACCUUACCUGGCCUUGACAUACAGAGAACUUUCCAGAGAUGGAUUGGUGCCUUCGGGAACUCUGAUACAGGUGCUGCAUGGCUGUCGUCAGCUCGUGUCCUGAGAUGUUGGGUUAAGUCCCGCAACGAGCGCAACCUUUUUCCUUACUUGCCAGCAUUUCGGAAGGGAACUUUAAGGAAUCUGCCAG